Melospiza melodia melodia is the source of this 416-nucleotide long non-coding RNA. RefSeq lists it as uncharacterized. The record is from RefSeq and is a predicted model, not a curated record. The transcript is spliced from 3 exons. Lineage: Eukaryota; Metazoa; Chordata; Aves; Passeriformes; Passerellidae.
UUUUUGCCUCCGAGUACAACUUGUAGACAAAACUCUGCUGCUCCAGCCCUCCAACUGAAUUUGCUGCUCUCAGGAUCCAUGGACAGUGGUGUCACUGUGGAGUCCUGGGCAGAGAACUAAGGUCCACUUGACUGGAUUUUACACAUUUCUUCACCCUCUUUUCCUUGUGUAAAUUUCUCUGAAAGUGAGUACUGAGCUCUGUGAAAGUGACCUGGGAAGGGCUCACAAGGAAACAACCUUCUUAAAAAGGAUGGGUGGAUCUUUCUCUCAAACUGCAGCUGAGGGUUCUCACCAAUAACAACUCUGAUGAAUUUUUCUGUACUGUGGAUUCAGUGACAUACUUGGCAAAGAUGCUGACAGAGAAUUCUAUCUAGAUUGAAUAGAGCAAUGAGUUAAGUAUUUAAGGUGUGUCAUGC